This 26-nucleotide unclassified non-coding RNA is filed under the name Mus musculus (house mouse). RNAcentral's name for it is "oocyte_clustered_small_RNA8812". Lineage: Eukaryota; Metazoa; Chordata; Mammalia; Rodentia; Muridae. The record is from RNAcentral.
UAGAGCCAGUCCCACAUGCCAGUCAC